GGGUGCGAUUAUACCAGUAAUAAUGCACUGCAUUUCAUCAGAACACCAAAGUUAAACUCGCUUGGGUGAGUGUAGUACUAGGGUGGGUGACUUUUGGGAAGUCCUCAUGUUUCUCCAA
RNAcentral lists this ribosomal RNA (118 nucleotides) under Salix viminalis (osier). Lineage: Eukaryota; Viridiplantae; Streptophyta; Magnoliopsida; Malpighiales; Salicaceae. The record is from RNAcentral.